This is a non-coding RNA of Xyrichtys novacula (pearly razorfish), 4697 nucleotides long. The record is from the annotation of a GenBank genome assembly. Lineage: Eukaryota; Metazoa; Chordata; Actinopteri; Labriformes; Labridae.
CCCAAACAAAGUUAGCGUGCUACAAUAUCGGACAGUAGAAACCAACCAGAAAGUUCGGAAAAUUGUCUGAAUCCUCCUUUGGCCACGACUGCCGACACAAGCAAGAAAACAAAGUAAAUACCGGAGACUCUGGAGGAAUAACGGGCGCUUAAAACGAAGGUAGACCGGACAAGAGCUAAAAGCCGGGUCAACAUAAACCAUGGGGGACGCUUGGGGAUCUUGGUGACCCUGUAACCUUUCUGCUGGACAGGUAAACCGCUUUAACAAAGUAAGACAAGUGUCUGUAACAGAAGUGUUUCUUGUCAAACGGACCUGCUGUAGCGUGUUGUAGCGCCAUCGCUAAACUGUCCUCCCUCGGGUCCUGGACUAUGUCACUUUAUCCUAGUUGUAGAAGUCCUGCAAACAUUGUGUUUGCUGGUAGUCUGUUGGCAUCUACAGUAGCACCAAUGCUUUUGACUUUCACCUUGACUGGGCCCCAUUUGUAAUGAUCUGAAGUAUUUAUCUGCAUUAUAUCUGAAUUUAAUUGGAACGAUACGAGCGAGCAGGAGCGUCUGUUUGUGGGCGGGGCUUGAGACAGAGAGAGAGAGAGAGUGUUUCUCUGUGUUGUGUCUUUAACUCUGUGUCUCUAAAACAGUUGAAGUGUGUUUCUGCUCGAUGAGGUUUCUAUGAGGUGAAUAAAUGUUGGUUCAGUUGAUCUUCAGGACGGCUGCAGCUUUAAGAACUUCUGCUUGUUGGAGUUUGAGAGUCUAAAGUUCACAGAGACGCUCCUCUUCCUGGAUUGUAGGUAAACUGGUUCCCCCCCCCUCCCUCGUCUCUCUCAGCUCACUCCACUCUGCACUCUCACUUCCUUGUUUCCUCCCCUUCCUUCCUCCCUCCCCCUCAGUUCUACAGUCUUGGUUGGGUGUAACCGUCGUGUGCUGAGGUCAUAUCCUGCUGACGCACAUGUUGUUGAGAUCAGAGCUCAGACUAGUUUCACUUCUCAGGAAAUAAAACUCAGUCAGUCGUCGUCGACAGCGAGUGUUGAAAUGGCGCAGAAAGGAGUUCAUCUGGACCGUGAGUCUUUCUCUUGUUCCAUCUGUUUGGAUCUUCUGAAGGAUCCGGUGACUGUCACCUGUGGACACAGCUUCUGCAUGAGCUGUAUUCAAUCCUACUGGGAUACUGAGGAUGAGAAGAAGAUCUACAGCUGUCCUCAGUGCAGAGAGACCUUCAGACCGAGGCCUGUCCUGAAGAAAAACACCAUGUUAGCAGGUUUAGUGGAGGAAGUGAAGAGGAGUGGACUCCAAGCUGCUCCUGGUGGUUCCUCUGAGGCUGGACCUGAAGAUGUGGUCUGUGAUUUCUGCAGUGGGAGAAAACUGAAAGCUGUCAAGUCCUGUCUGGUCUGUUUGAUCUCAUUUUGUGAAAAACACCUCCAGCCUCAUUAUGAAUCUCCUGCCUAUGCUAAACACAAGCUGGUGGAGCCCUCCAAGAAGCUCCAGGAGAACAUCUGCUCUCGUCAUGAUGAGGUGAUGAAGAUGUUCUGUCGCACUGAUCAACAGUCUAUCUGUCAUCUCUGCUCUGUGGACCAACACAAAGGCCACGACACAGUCUCAGCUGCAGCAGAAAGGACUGAGAGGCAGAAAGAUCUGGAGGAGGGUCGAGAAAACAUCCAGCAGAGAAUCCAGGACAGAGAAGAAGAUGUGAAGCUGUUCCAACAGGAGGUGGAGGCUAUCAACGGCUCUGCUGAUAAAGCUGUGGAGCACAGCCAGGAGAUCUUCAGACAGCUGAUCCGUCUGAUGGAGAAACGCCGCUCUGAGGUGGAGCAGCAGGUCAGAUCCCAGCAGGAACGUGAAGUGAGUCGAGUCAAAGAGCUUCAGGAGAAACUGGAGCAGGAGAUCACUGAGCUGAAGAGGAGAGACGCUGAUCUGCAGAAGCUCUCACUCACAGAGGACCACAACCAGUUUCUGCACAGCUACCCCUCACUGUCAGAACCGGGUCAACCUGCAGACUCAUCCAGGAUCAACAUCCGUCCUCUGAGAUACUUUGAGGAGGUGACAGCAGCUGUGUCAGAGGUCAGAGAGAAACUCCAGGAUCUUCUGACAGAGACGUGGACAAACGUCUCACAGGCCGUGACUGAUGUGGAUGUUUUACUGUUAGAACCACCAGGACCAGCAGAACCCAAGACCAGAGCUGGUUUCUUAAGAUAUUCACAAAGAAUCACACUGGAUCCAAACACAGCAUGCAGAGAGCUGAUAUUAUCUGAUGGAAACAGAAGAGCAACAAGGACAAAACAACAACCACAGUCUUAUCCUAAACAUCCAGACAGAUUCACUGAUUAUGUUCAGGUCCUGAGUAGAGAGAGUCUGACUGGACGUUGUUACUGGGAGGUGGACUGGAGAGGGUUCGGGGUUUGGGUAGCAGUCACAUACAAGACUAUCAGGAGAGACGGGAACUCAGAUGAUGGUAUAUUUGGAAAAAAUGACAAAUCUUGGAGGUUAUUCUGUUCUAAAGACAGUUAUAGUUUUGAUCACAACAAAGUCCUCACUCCUGUCUCAGGUCCUCCGUCCUCCAGAGUAGGAGUGUACCUGGAUCACAGCGCAGGUAUUCUGUCCUUCUACAGCGUCUCUGAAACCAUGACUCUCCUCCACAGAGUCCAGACCACAUUCACUGAACCUCUACAUGCUGGACUGAGGUUAGACUGGUUUGGAGACUCUGCUGAGUUUAUAGAAGUGAACUAAAGAGAAUUUUGAGUCCAUCAGACCAAAAUCAUGGACUGAGAUCCUUGAACUCUUGAAAUGUUCUGGUUUGUAAAUGUUUGUGGAUCAGUCUCACCAAAAACUCUGGGUUUAGUUCUUCAUUUCAGCUUUUUGAUUCUUUUCUAAAGAUGCUGAUUUGGUCGCAGCUUUAAGGACAGUGAUUGUGGAGAACUUUGAUUGUUUGUAUUUCUCAUGUUGAAAAAUCUUCAUACAGUUUGAUAUCAACAACAUCAAGAUGAUGGUUUGUUCAAAUCACCUUCAGUUGGUGCAGAUGUUGAAGGUCUGAGACUUUAGAAAAAAGUGAGGUCAAAAUCACAGAAAAAGGACGACCUUAUUUCCUGUCCCAAAUCCAAGCGUCUAAAGUCUUUCCAGUCGUCCCCAAAAACUCUUCAGAUGAUCUGUUUCUUUCUCUGUUUGCUGAAUAUUUGUGUUCAUGUGAUCGAUGGAUAUUUCUGUCUGCUUCUGUUGGAUCAGUGUGUUUGUAAAGACAUCUAGAAUCAGACUUUGGACAGAUCUACAUGUUGUUAUGAGCUUUUCAAUCACUCUAAUAAUAAUAAUCACAUUUAUUAGUCCGGCUGUUUGGAUGUUUCUGACUCAGCUCAGAUUGUGGUCAAGUCUCUGAUUGUGGGUAAAAAAAAUCAUAAAAAUCCUCAAACUGAGUCACUGAAAUCACCUCGUCUGUUUGUCUUUAUUGUGUCUGUUUCUGCUGGAUGUCAUGUUACCGCUCCGUCUGGGUCAUGGAUCCAUGUGGUCUUACAUGUCCCAGAUGUGAGUCCUGCAGCUGGAUCAGGUUUUCUGUAGAGGACAAAGACAGGAGGCAGGUUGUGUGUCUUUUUGAUUUGAUGUAACCAGACUAGUCCUGUUGAGAUCAUCAAUCUCUUUUUCAGGGGGGGUCCUGACCAAGAAUGGCAGCAAAAAACAAACACACUCAGACUCACACAGAUCCACAUCAGCAACAAGAACUCAGUGUUCAUAUGAGAGAGUCCAGCUGAUCUCUAGUCUAAGGAAAGAAGUCUGGACCACAAGAAGAAAACCGACUUAAAGGUGGAGUAGACAGGAAUCUGUUAAAGAAGCAUCUUUUUAUUUUGUGGUUUUUAUACAAAAAUCUUUUAAUAUCAGUCAAUAGUUAUUAGUUAUUGAUGACAUUUGGUAAUAUAUCUAUAUCUCUGUGUUCUCUUAUGUCUGUGUCGUCAACAUUUGAACAUUUUUGAGCGGUCCGCUCUUUCUGACUGUAAACAAAGCCGUUCUCCACCUCCUCUAACCUGAUUGGUUGUGAGGCAGACGCUGCUCCUAAGUGCUGCGUUUGAGUUUCCUCGGAAGUCAGAAGUCGGAGCUGAGAAUGACGUCACACACAAGUUCCCAGCAUUUCAGUUAAAAAUAACCAAACUAAGUGGCCCAAUAAUCGGACAAGGCAAGCACUAAAAUAACUUUCGGAGAUGUAGCCAUCUUGUUUCCACCUCCGAUUUUGCUUUUUUCGGACUUCGUAACUGAAAUGCUGAUAACUUGGGUGUGACGUCAUUUAAAGCUCCAACUUCAGGAAUAACGGGCGCUUAAAACGGAGGUAGACCGGACAAGAGCUAAAAAGCCGGGUCAACAUAAACGAUGGGGGACGCUUGGGGAUCUUGGUGACCCUGUAACCUUUCUGCUGGACAGGUAAACCGCUUUAACAAAGUAAGACAAGUGUCUGUAACAGAAGUGUUUCUUGUCAAACGGACCUGCUGUAGCGUGUUGUAGCGCCAUCGCUAAACUGUCCUCCCUCGGGUCCUGGACUAUGUCACUUUAUCCUAGUUGUAGAAGUCCUGCAAACAUUGUGUUUGCUGGUAGUCUGUUGGCAUCUACAGUAGCACCAAUGCUUUUGACUUUCACCUUGACUGGGCCCCAUUUGUAAUGAUCUGAAGUAUUUAUCUGCAUUAUAUCUGAAUUUAACUGGAACGAUACGAGCGAGCAGGAGCGUCUGUUUGAGAU